CAGCAGUGGGGGAUAUUGCGCAAUGGGGGCAACCCUGACGCAGCAACGCCGCGUGAAGGAUGAAGGUUUUCGGAUUGUAAACUUCUUUUCUUAAGGACGAAAUUUGACGGUACUUAAGGAAUAAGCUCCGGCUAACUACGUGCCAGCAGCCGCGGUAAUACGUAGGGAGCAAGCGUUGUCCGGAUUUACUGGGUGUAAAGGGUGCGUAGGCGGCAAUGCAAGUCAGAUGUGAAAUCUAUGGGCUCAACCCAUAAACUGCAUUUGAAACUGCGUUGCUUGAGUGAAGUAGAGGCAGGCGGAAUUCCCCGUGUAGCGGUGAAAUGCGUAGAGAUGGGGAGGAACACCAGUGGCGAAGGCGGCCUGCUGGGCUUUAACUGACGCUGAGGCACGAAAGCGUGGGUAGCAAACAGGAUUAGA
Molecule: ribosomal RNA, 417 nt
Filed under: uncultured Ruminococcus sp.
Lineage: Bacteria; Bacillati; Bacillota; Clostridia; Eubacteriales; Oscillospiraceae
Description: bacterial SSU rRNA
Rfam family: Bacterial small subunit ribosomal RNA
Source: RNAcentral